GAGCCCUGGUUUGAAAGGGGUACUUCAGGAUUUAGUCAAUGAUGCCCUUUAUCUACUUCCCCAGAGUCAGAUGAACUAGUGGACACCAUAUUUAUGUCUAAUGCGUGCAGUUUGAAGGAAGUUGCUAACAUAAUGACUAGAAGUCUAUGGAUAUCUGCUAGCAUGCUAGUAGGUGUAAUGACUAGAAGUAUGUGGAUAUCUGCUAGCAUGCUAGUAGGUGUAAUGACUAGAAGUCUAUGGAUAUCUGCUAGCAUGCUAGUAGGUGUAAUGACUAGAAGUCUAUGGAUAUCUUCUAGCAUGCUCGUAGGUGUAAUGACUAGAAGUCUAUGGAUAUCUGCUAGCAUGCUAGUAGGUGUAAUGACUAGAAGUAUGUGGAUAUCUGCUAGCAUGCUAGUAGGUGUAAUGACUAGAAGUCUAUGGAUAUCUGCUAGCAUGCUAGUAGGUGUAAUGACUAGAAGUCUAUGGAUAUCUGCUAGCAUGCUCGUAGGUGUAAUGACUAGAAGUCUAUGGAUAUCUGCUAGCAUGCUAGUAGAUGUAAUGACUAGAAGUCUAUGGAUAUCUGCUAGCAUGCUAGUAGGUGAAAUGACUAGAAGUCUAUGGAUAUCUGCUAGCAUGCUUGUUAUAUAAUAUUAAUAUUGCCAAUUUCACAUACAAUGAUGUCAAAUUUGGUUUAUUCCAAGAUGAUAAUGAAUUCAAUUUCCUGGUCAAUAAUUGUAUUGUUGAAAUUCUUUAUACACAAAUGCAGAUUUUUGAAGGCUACUAUACCUUAUUUAUUUUUUGAAAGAGAGCUUUAUCUUUUUUAUUUUGCAAUCAUUAAGAUUAGUUUUUUUUUUAAACAUGCCCUGAAACUCACUACUACAUUUGAAGCAUACAUGAUAUGCCUCAUUUAAUGUAUAUAAGACCUGUUUGUAAAAGUUUAUUUUUCUUAACUUGUGUGCUUGGUUGUGUAUAAUUCAACUUCCGUUAUGUUUGUACAAUUAGAAAAGUAUUUUAUAUAACAAAAAGUGAAUUCUCAAUAAAUGCCAAUCUGCCAUUCUG
This is a long non-coding RNA of Oncorhynchus keta (chum salmon), 1038 nucleotides long. RefSeq lists it as uncharacterized. Lineage: Eukaryota; Metazoa; Chordata; Actinopteri; Salmoniformes; Salmonidae. The record is from RefSeq and is a predicted model, not a curated record. The transcript has 2 exons.